GAUGAACGCUGGCGGCGUGCCUAAUACAUGCAAGUCGAGCGAACUGAUUAGAAGCUUGCUUCUAUGACGUUAGCGGCGGACGGGUGAGUAACACGUGGGCAACCUGCCUGUAAGACUGGGAUAACUUCGGGAAACCGAAGCUAAUACCGGAUAGGAUCUUCUCCUUCAUGGGAGAUGAUUGAAAGAUGGUUUCGGCUAUCAUUUACAGAUGGGCCCGCGGUGCAUUAGCUAGUUGGUGAGGUAACGGCUCACCAAGGCAACGAUGCAUAGCCGACCUGAGAGGGUGAUCGGCCACACUGGGACUGAGACACGGCCCAGACUCCUACGGGAGGCAGCAGUAGGGAAUCUUCCGCAAUGGACGAAAGUCUGACGGAGCAACGCCGCGUGAGUGAUGAAGGCUUUCGGGUCGUAAAACUCUGUUGUUAGGGAAGAACAAGUACGAGAGUAACUGCUCGUACCUUGACGGUACCUAACCAGAAAGCCACGGCUAACUACGUGCCAGCCGCCGCGGUAA
This 514-nucleotide ribosomal RNA is filed under the name uncultured bacterium. RNAcentral describes it as "partial 16S ribosomal RNA". It matches the Rfam family "Bacterial small subunit ribosomal RNA", at positions 28 to 523 of the family's 1533-position model. The record is from RNAcentral.